ACAGUCAUUGCUGUGGAGAUGGCUGGUGAAUACAUCUAAGAAUACUGUGUGAUUGAAGUGGUCUAGCAUCAUGUUAUCAUUUCCCCACAGCAUGUGCUACCUGGCUUGACAAGGAUAAAGAAGGGCACCUGAAACUGAAGGAAGAAUUGGACUGGGAUUUUCAAUGACAAACUUCAUGCAUACACUCCCAUGAACAUGAAGAUACUACAAGCAUGUAAGAGAACACUGGGGCUCUAAGGCCAUAA
RNAcentral lists this long non-coding RNA (245 nucleotides) under Cairina moschata (Muscovy duck). Its description in RNAcentral is "domestica (muscovy Duck (domestic type)) lncRNA (ENSCMMG00000002140.1)". Lineage: Eukaryota; Metazoa; Chordata; Aves; Anseriformes; Anatidae. The record is from RNAcentral.